AAACUGCGAUAAGUAGUGUGAAUCGCAUUUAGUGAAUCAUCGAAUCUUUGAACGCACCUUGCACUCACUGGUAUUCCGGUGAGUACGCCUGUUUCAGUAUCAUUGAAAACACACAAUCAAAACAUUUUCUUUGGUUUGAUUGGCUUUGGGUCUAUCAAAAAGUUUGGCUUGUUUCUUACAAGCCAAGCGGCCUGAAAUAUAUUGUCUGGCUAAUUGCAUCGUUGAUGAUCGCUAUUAGACUUUGGCUUUUUUAAAUGAACUGGAGGUUGAUUAACCAGUUUUAGAUUUAGUCAAAUGGUCAUUGUAAAAAAAAUCUCGAUCUUGGCUAGGUGUUUAUAGCCGAAAAUUUUUUUUUGGCUAUAACCGAAACCAAUAUAAUCACAUUUAGUUAUCGAUCUGAAAUCAGGUGGGACUACCCGCUGAACUUAAGC
This 431-nucleotide unclassified non-coding RNA is filed under the name plant metagenome. Its description in RNAcentral is "partial contains 5.8S ribosomal RNA, internal transcribed spacer 2, and large subunit ribosomal RNA". The stretch from base 1 to 102 matches the Rfam family "5.8S ribosomal RNA", at positions 50 to 154 of the family's 154-position model. The record is from RNAcentral.